UUAGAAGAAAAUAAAAAGUUUUGUCGCGAUUAGUUAUUUGAUAUUUACCUUGUUCUUUUGUUUAUCGCUGCGACAAGCACCGACGGUAUAAAAUAUAAAGAAAAAAAGAAAGAGAGAUGAAGGUGAGAUGAAUGAAAGAGUCGCAGCGACAGAUCUGAAGAGAUAGGAGAAAGGGAAUUUGAGACGCUGAAAAUUCCAGCGUCUACGGAAUGGCCGAAUUACAGUCGAUGCGGCAGAGAUGAAAAAAAUGAGAAAUGAAAGUGAAAAAGAGAUGAGAACUUUUUUUGGGUCGCAGGUAGCUGACGCAGCAAUCAACAAAAGAACAUGGCCAACGUUUUAGUAGAUACUACUAUAAAAGAAAAAGGUUGAUUUAAUUCAUUCGUAAUUUGGACUUAAUUUUUUUUUAGGAACACUAAUUAAUCUUAUUUGCCAGCUGUAUGAGUGGACUACAAUAAACUCUUGUCUAUA
Molecule: small RNA, 468 nt
Filed under: Arabidopsis thaliana (thale cress)
Lineage: Eukaryota; Viridiplantae; Streptophyta; Magnoliopsida; Brassicales; Brassicaceae
Description: ATSL304330
Source: RNAcentral